CGCAGACGGCAACCGAAGCAGACAAGCAGAUCCUCAUCGGGCUGAUGCUGCUCGCCUUUGCCCUUGCUGCCGGCAGCACCUUCGUCUUCUGGCGUGGGCAGAUCGCCGCCCUCGUCACAUCAGGGGUUCGACGCCAUGGCCGCUGACGACGACCUGCCCGGGCCACGCCCGGGCUUCCUCGCCCGUCUUUCGGCGAUCGAGACGAUCGUGGUCGCGCUCAUUGCCCUGUUCGCCCUUGCCGGCCUGAUGCUGGUCGGCAAGGGAUUUUACAUGAAGGCCAAGGCCGAGGUCUCUCAAGUCCUCUUGAAAAAGAGCUUCGAGGCACAAUUGCACGGCGAGGCCAAUGGCAGGCCCUGGCCCUGGGCCGACUUCGAAACGACAGCGGAAAUCAUGGCGCCGCGCAUCAACCGCUCGGCGAUCGUGCUCAAGGGCGCAAGCGGCCAGGCGCUUGCCUUCGGACCUGCCUGGCUCACAAACACCCCCCUUCCCGGCGACGAAGGCACCUCGGUCAUCGCCGCCCACCGCGACACGCAUUUCCGCUGGCUGAAGGAUGUGUCCGCGGGCGACCUGCUGGUGCUGACCCGCAAGGACGGGCGGCGCUUUCUCUUCCGCGCCGGCGAAGGCCGGGUCGCGCGCUGGGACGAGAGCGGCAUCAACGCCUCGGCCAGUGGCCACAAGCUGGCGCUUGCCACCUGCUUCCCUUUCGAUGCGAUCGAGCCGGGACCGAUGCGCUACAUCGUGACCGCCGAACUGGUCGGCGAGCAGCAUCCGGUGCCGCUGACGACAGGCUCGGUUUCGAAAUAAAGCCAUUUUGAUCCGAUUUGACUUGAACGAACCGGGUGACCACUCCAGCUUGGCGUGUGGCGGCAUGAACUGAUCGGAGAUAUCGAAUGUGGCAGGCGCAGGCAUCAAGGCUGGAAACGACCCGGAUGGCGGGAACAAUUCGCGCGCUGCCGCUCCUCGCCGGCCUUGUUUCGUUUGCCGCCCCGUUUGCUGCCGCAGCACAGGAAACG
RNAcentral lists this unclassified non-coding RNA (1013 nucleotides) under uncultured fungus. RNAcentral describes it as "sequence contains 18S rRNA gene, ITS1, 5.8S rRNA gene, ITS2, 28S rRNA gene". The record is from RNAcentral. Lineage: Eukaryota; Fungi.